CACAUGAGGAAUUGCAAUGGAAGCAGCACUGGGUUUUGAUAAGCUCCAGUUGUGCUUCUCUGGGUUUGUACUGUGACUGGUCAACAUGGCACUGAGAGUUGAAAUAUGGAGCUUCACAAAGAUAACAGUGGUAACAAAAUACACAUUGAAGACAACAAAUGCGAAUUUAUGAGCUAGGAACUUUUUGGCAUGAACAUCUACGGAGUCUGAGCUAAAGAUGGUGAGCAUAUGGGAAAGCCAGGAGGAAGCAUACAAUGUUAAUUUCCAAACUCAC
Mauremys mutica (yellowpond turtle) is the source of this 274-nucleotide long non-coding RNA. RefSeq lists it as uncharacterized. The record is from RefSeq and is a predicted model, not a curated record. Lineage: Eukaryota; Metazoa; Chordata; Testudines; Geoemydidae. The transcript is spliced from 3 exons.